AUACAUGCAAGUAGAACGCUGAAGGAGGAGCUUGCUCUUCUGGAAGAGUUGCGAACGGGUGAGUAACGCGUAGGUAACCUGCCUGGUAGCGGGGGAUAACUAUUGGAAACGAUAGCUAAUACCGCAUAAGAUUGAAUAUCGCAUGAUAAUUGAUUAAAAGAUGCAAAUGCAUCACUACCAGAUGGACCUGCGUUGUAUUAGCUAGUAGGUGAGGUAACGGCUCACCUAGGCGACGAUACAUAGCCGACCUGAGAGGGUGAUCGGCCACACUGGGACUGAGACACGGCCCAGACUCCUACGGGAGGCAGCAGUAGGGAAUCUUCGGCAAUGGGGGCAACCCUGACCGAGCAACGCCGCGUGAGUGAAGAAGGUUUUCGGAUCGUAAAGCUCUGUUGUAAGAGAAGAACGAGUGUGAGAGUGGAAAGUUCACACUGAGACGGUAUCUUACCAGAAAGGGACGGCUAACUACGUGCCAGCAGCCGCGGUAAUACGUAGGUCCCGAGCGUUGUCCGGAUUUAUUGGGCGUAAAGCGAGCGCAGGCGGUUAGAUAAGUCUGAAGUUAAAGGCUGUGGCUUAACCAUAGUACGCUUUGGAAACUGUUUAACUUGAGUGCAGAAGGGGAGAGUGGAAUUCCAUGUGUAGCGGUGAAAUGUCGUAGAUAUAUGGAGGAACACUCGGUGGCGAAAGCGGCUCUCUGGUCUGUAACUGACGCUGAGGCUCGAAAGCGUGGGGAGCGAACAGGAUUAGAUAGCCUGGUAGUCCACGCCGUAAACGAUGAGUGCUAGGUGUUAGGCCCUUUCCGGGGCUUAGUGCCGUAGCUAACGCAUUAA
RNAcentral lists this ribosomal RNA (830 nucleotides) under uncultured Streptococcus sp. RNAcentral describes it as "bacterial SSU rRNA". It matches the Rfam family "Bacterial small subunit ribosomal RNA", at positions 51 to 863 of the family's 1533-position model. Lineage: Bacteria; Bacillati; Bacillota; Bacilli; Lactobacillales; Streptococcaceae. The record is from RNAcentral.